GACGAACGCUGGCGGUGUGCUUCACACAUGCAAGUCGAACGAGGUAGCAAUACCUAGUGGCGGACGGGCGAGUAACGCGUGGGAAUCUGCCUUUAGAUGGGGGAUAACGGGUCGAAAGACUCGCUAAUACCGCAUAUGACGAAAGUUGAAAGGAGUAAUCCGUCUAAAGAUGAGCCCGCGUCCGAUUAGCUAGUUGGUAGAGUAAAAGCCUACCAAGGCGACGAUCGGUAGCUGGGUCUGAGAGGAUGAUCAGCCACAAUGGGACU
RNAcentral lists this ribosomal RNA (266 nucleotides) under uncultured bacterium. RNAcentral describes it as "partial 16S ribosomal RNA". It matches the Rfam family "Bacterial small subunit ribosomal RNA", at positions 28 to 320 of the family's 1533-position model. The record is from RNAcentral.